Molecule: ribosomal RNA, 461 nt
Filed under: uncultured bacterium
Lineage: Bacteria
Description: partial 16S ribosomal RNA
Rfam family: Bacterial small subunit ribosomal RNA
Source: RNAcentral
CCUACGGGAGGCAGCAGUGAGGAAUAUUGGUCAAUGGACGAGAGUCUGAACCAGCCAAGUAGCGUGAAGGAUGACUGCCCUAUGGGUUGUAAACUUCUUUUAUAUGGGAAUAAAAUGUUCCACGUGUGGGAUUUUGUAUGUACCAUAUGAAUAAGGAUCGGCUAACUCCGUGCCAGCAGCCGCGGUAAUACGGAGGAUCCGAGCGUUAUCCGGAUUUAUUGGGUUUAAAGGGAGCGUAGGUGGAUUGUUAAGUCAGUUGUGAAAGUUUGCGGCGCAACCGUAAAAUUGCAGUUGAAACUGGCAGUCUUGAGGACAGUAGAGGUGGGCGGAAUUCGUGGUGUAGCGGUGAAAUGCUUAGAUAUCACGAAGAACUCCGAUUGCGAAGGCAGUUCACUGGACUGCAACUGACACUGAGGCUCGAAAGUGUGGGUAUCAAACAGGAUUAGAUACCCCGGGUAGUC